GCCGCUUUAGCUCAGCUGGUAGAGCAACUGAUUUGUAAUCAGUAGGUCGUUGGUUCGAUUCCGACAAGCGGCU
Molecule: transfer RNA, 73 nt
Filed under: Cnuella takakiae
Lineage: Bacteria; Pseudomonadati; Bacteroidota; Chitinophagia; Chitinophagales; Chitinophagaceae
Also listed under: 6 other names
Rfam family: tRNA
About the family: Transfer RNA (tRNA) molecules are approximately 80 nucleotides in length. Their secondary structure includes four short double-helical elements and three loops (D, anti-codon, and T loops).
Source: Rfam by way of RNAcentral